This is a long non-coding RNA of Engraulis encrasicolus (European anchovy), 384 nucleotides long. RefSeq lists it as uncharacterized. The transcript is spliced from 3 exons. Lineage: Eukaryota; Metazoa; Chordata; Actinopteri; Clupeiformes; Engraulidae. The record is from RefSeq and is a predicted model, not a curated record.
CGGCUGGACAACUUGACCUUGGUGACUUGAAGGACCCGACUCCCCUCGUGGUGCAUGUUGUCAUUAAAAGAUCAGGACUAAAGGUGCUAAAUGGUGCUUGGUUCCGGGAGCAUUUCAUUGGCUUUGAACUGCGAUUCCUCCAUUAGAACGGCUGGAUAACUUGACCUUGGUGACUUGAUGGACCUGACUGCUUGUGGCAUACGUUGUCAUUGCAAAGAUCAGGACUGAGGGUGUUGGUGCUUAGCAGCGGUGUGGCAGAGGAGAAAUUAUGAACCUGCACCACAGGAGCCGAGAACUGGAGGUGGGCAAACUGGUCCGACUCUACAGCCGGCAGCGGAGGAAGGGGUGCUGCGCGAAACUGGACAGCCGCUGGGUAGGCCACGG